RNAcentral lists this unclassified non-coding RNA (391 nucleotides) under soil metagenome. RNAcentral's name for it is "partial contains 5.8S ribosomal RNA, internal transcribed spacer 2, and large subunit ribosomal RNA". The stretch from base 1 to 122 matches the Rfam family "5.8S ribosomal RNA", at positions 35 to 154 of the family's 154-position model. The record is from RNAcentral.
GAUGAAGAACGUAGCGAAAUGCGAUACUUGGUGUGAAUUGCAGAAUCCCGUGAACCAUCGAGUCUUUGAACGCAAGUUGCGCCCGAAGCCAUUAGGCCGAGGGCACGCCUGCCUGGGCGUCACACGUCGUUGCCCCCCCAUCUACUCCUUCGGGAUUGCGGGGGGCGGAUGAUGGCCUCCCGUGCGCCUCGUCGCGCGGUUGGCAUAAAUACCAAGUCCUCGGCGACGCACGCCACGACAAUCGGUGGUUGCGAAACCUCGGUUGCCCGUCGUGUGCGGUCGUCGCGCAUCGAGGGCUCGAAAAAAUUGCCGGGCUCCGGCUCGGCUUUCAACGCGACCCCAGGUCAGGCGGGAUUACCCGCUGAAUUUAAGCAUAUCAAUAAGCGGAGGA